UUGCAGCAUCUAGAUUUGGAAAAGGAAUUAGUCUAAUGGAAAAUGAUUUUAUAUUUUUUCCAGUCAACAAACCCCAACAUUGGUCACUAUAUGUAAGGAGUAAAUGUAUUCGAAGCACAGUGAAGUCCAUUGAAGUGAAGUUAUGACAGUUAUACAGUGGAGAGUGCAUUAGUGGUUUUUUGAAUCAUCAGCAGAAUAAAUUUGUAAAUUCAGCAAUAGAUAACAAUACAUGGAUUGAGCUUGAUGACAUGCAUGUAGUCAGGCAUGGCCUGACCCUUGCGAAAACAGAGGGUCAGGAACCUCGUAUAUACCAGUCUUGUUAGCUGCUGCAAAAAUUCUGCAGUGACGCAUUGUGACUCGCUAUGACUAUUAACUUUAAUAAUCAUUAAUAAUUGAAAAUGGAUGUUGGUGCUGUAGCUGCUAAUCUUCUUGGUAUCCAUUCUCUGCAUUUGCAUAUUCUUCCAGACACUAUAAAUUGUGACGUAAAUAAAAAAUCUGUAUAUAUGUUGGGAAAAUUCACUAAAACAAUAAUUUGGUCAGAGAUAGUUGCUUCUUUAAUAAUAAAUAAAUUUGAUGUUACAUAUCAAGUGGCAAUAGAGGCUGUCAUUAAUAAUACUAUUCCAUCCUAAUUUUAUUCUUUUAUGUUAAAUUGUUCAUGUACUAGUAAAUUUAUGCAUUAAUUUAUAGGCUUAGAAAGGAUAUUAAAUCUCGACUGGUUG
RNAcentral lists this long non-coding RNA (719 nucleotides) under Amphimedon queenslandica. RNAcentral's name for it is "uncharacterized LOC109584887, transcript variant X2". The record is from RNAcentral. Lineage: Eukaryota; Metazoa; Porifera; Demospongiae; Haplosclerida; Niphatidae.